CAGAUAGAUACCCUAUUAUUUAAGAUUAGUAAGUGGGUAGUAUUAGUUAUGAUCUUAAAACUCAAAGAAUAUGGCGGUGUUUAACAAAAAUCAGAGGAACCUGUCUUUUAAAAUGAUGAUCCACGAGUAUCUUUUUUAAUUUAUAAGUUUGUAUAUCGUCGUUUGGAGUUUCGUUAGUAGAUGACUUACUAAAAUUAGGGUAUUCACACUUAGGAAGACAGAUCAGGAUGCAGCUAAUAAUUAAAGUUGGAUGGGUUACAUUUUUUGUAAAUACGGAGUUUCCUGGAAUUUGGAAUAUUUAAGUUGGAUUUGAAAGUAAUUUUUUNCCAAAAGUU
Molecule: ribosomal RNA, 335 nt
Filed under: Crenoicus buntiae
Lineage: Eukaryota; Metazoa; Arthropoda; Malacostraca; Isopoda; Phreatoicidae
Description: partial 12S ribosomal RNA
Source: RNAcentral